This is a long non-coding RNA of Passer montanus (Eurasian tree sparrow), 586 nucleotides long. RefSeq lists it as uncharacterized. Lineage: Eukaryota; Metazoa; Chordata; Aves; Passeriformes; Passeridae. The record is from RefSeq and is a predicted model, not a curated record. The transcript is spliced from 3 exons.
UGCUGGUGUGUGGGUGUGUGUUGCUCGAAGGAUUUCAAGGACCAGAACAGGAUUGCUGCUCUCUGAACAGUUUGAAAUUAUUUCCUCUGGGGGUGCCAAUGGAGACCUGAAGAAGAGAUACUGCAUGACUUACCCUGGCACCUAUUCUUGUCCUCCUCCACCUCUUUGUCAACACAGAUGAUACCUGACUGCUCAUCCUUGAAAGUGGUGCUGAUAUUUUACACAUACUGGGAAAGCCUUCCUGUCUCUUAGUUUCCAGCAUAAGCAAGAAUGUUUUGGUCCGGAGCUCCUUUGGAAAUCUGCCAGAUGAAAAUGGAUAAGGCAUUUAUUUGCCUCCUUCAGUGAUACACAUAACGCUUUGGGAGCACUCCUGUAAAACAUUUUAACUGGAAGAUCUAUGAAAAUAACUUAGAUGGCUCUGUCAGGUCUGUCAAAUAGCUGUCUGUCUUCUUGCUUUCCCUUCCAUAACUGUCUUAUACAGUAAGGCAUUCUGCUACGUUCCUCACGUUUUCCUGUUGUGAACAAUUUUCUUCAUGUUCUGCUGUCACUGUUGACAAGCAACCAACGGUAACUAUGAUAGUGGGCU